UACGUAGGUGGCAAGCGUUGUCCGGAAUUAUUGGGCGUAAAGCGCGCGCAGGCGGUCCUUUAAGUCUGAUGUGAAAGCCCACGGCUCAACCGUGGAGGGUCAUUGGAAACUGGGGGGACUUGAGUACAGAAGAGAAGAGUGGAAUUCCACGUGUAGCGGUGAAAUGCGUAGAUAUCGGGAGGAACACCGGUGGCGAAGGCGGCGAUCUGGGUCGAUACUGACGCUGAGGUGCGAAAGCGUGGGGAGCAAACAGG
This 254-nucleotide ribosomal RNA is filed under the name uncultured bacterium. RNAcentral describes it as "partial 16S ribosomal RNA". It matches the Rfam family "Bacterial small subunit ribosomal RNA", at positions 524 to 776 of the family's 1533-position model. The record is from RNAcentral.